This 497-nucleotide ribosomal RNA is filed under the name uncultured bacterium. Its description in RNAcentral is "partial 16S ribosomal RNA". It matches the Rfam family "Bacterial small subunit ribosomal RNA", at positions 28 to 507 of the family's 1533-position model. The record is from RNAcentral.
GAUGAACGCUGGCGGCGUGCCUAAUACAUGCAAGUCGAGCGAAAGGACGAGGAGCUUGCUUCUCUGAUGUUAGCGGCGGACGGGUGAGUAACACGUGGAUCACGUACCUGUAAGACUGGGAUAACUUCGGGAAACCGGAGCUUAUACCGGAUGAUAUUUUGAACCGCAUGGGUGAAAAGAGAAAGACGGUCUUGCUGUCACGUCUAGAUGGAUCCGCGCUGCAUGAGCUAGUUGGUGAGGUCACGGCUUACUAAGGCAACGAUGCAUAGCCGACGUGAGAGGGUGGUAGGCCACCCUGGAACUGAGACACGGACCAGACUCCUAAGGGAGGGAGCAGUAGGGAAUCUUACGCAAUGGGCGAGAGCCUGACAGAGCAACGCGGCGUGAGUGAUGAAGGUGUUCGGAUCGUAAAGCUCUGUUAUGAGGGAAGAACAUAUGUGUAAGUAACCGUGCACAUAUUGACGGUACCUAAUCAAAAAGCCCCGGCUAACUACGUG